RNAcentral lists this long non-coding RNA (635 nucleotides) under Homo sapiens (human). Its description in RNAcentral is "HSALNT0124531". Lineage: Eukaryota; Metazoa; Chordata; Mammalia; Primates; Hominidae. The record is from RNAcentral.
GAAGAACCCAUCGGGCAGCUACAACCCCCAGCCAGGCACAGUCCCAGAGUGAGCCCAGGGCAGCUAUUGUCUUUAUGGGAUGGCCAUCCUGUGCCAGGUGCCUCCUGGGCCUGGAUGUGGGGUGGGGGAAGUUAGCAAGCUGAGGCUGAGAGUAGAAAAUGUAGCCUGUAGAGGUGGCUAUCCGAAGGAAAAGCACACCCACACUGACUUGGAGCCCCAGCUACCCAGAGACAGGAGGAGAUGGACUGAAGUUUCCUUCAUGAGGUCCUAGCCCGAGGCCCCAUCUCUUCCACAAGGCCUUUCCUGGUUGUCCAAGGGGCCCCAGACUCCAGAGAAGCCCAGGCAUUGAGUCUGUCAUUUCCUCAGAGGUUGGCAAGGCAUCUGAAGACAAAACUCCAAAUGACAUGGGUGUCUUCUGCCUGUCAUACUCCUGUCACAGUCCUUCAGGGACCACCCAGCCCAGUCUCCCCACAGGCAAGGGUCUUUUUCUUUCUCUCUUUUUUUUUUGGUUCGAGAUGGAGUCUCACACUGUCGUCCAGGCUGGAGUGCAGUGGCGCCAUGUCGGCUCACUGUAACCUCUGCCUCCUGGGUUCAAGCGAUUCUCCUUCCUCAGCCUCCCGAGUAGCUGGGACUAC